This is a long non-coding RNA of Engraulis encrasicolus (European anchovy), 624 nucleotides long. RefSeq lists it as uncharacterized. The transcript has 3 exons. The record is from RefSeq and is a predicted model, not a curated record. Lineage: Eukaryota; Metazoa; Chordata; Actinopteri; Clupeiformes; Engraulidae.
CUUUUUUCUUUUUUUUUUGUACAAGGCAAGUUGCAGGAAGCAGCUGAAGUAAAGGAAGCCAAGAGCAUCCUCAUUCACAUCAAGGACAGAGACUGUGUGGCUCUGGAGGUGCAGUACCACAGAAGUUGCUACAGAGAGUACACAAGGUUUUUGAGUGAGCCUGUCAGAGCAGAGAAAGAACAGAUUGGGCCAACAUUUGAUCUGAGCUACAAGUUAUUCUGCGAGAGGGUAAUCCGCUAAAGGCUACUGAUCAACCAAGAGGUGCUGAGGAUGAGCCAACUGAGGAAGGCCUUUAUUGCCCUUGUGCAGUCAAGUGAAGGUGUUGAUGCUUCAACCUACAGACAGGAUAUAUUGAAGAAGAGGCUCAGUCGUGAUUUUCCUCAGCUAGUGUUCCACACCCCCGCCAAACGCAACACAUCUGAACUGGUUUCUGCUGAAACUUGUCGACGAAUGCAGUCUUGGACUUGUUACCAUCAGGUGCGGAGACGACUCAGUCCAGCGAAAUGAGCCAGACAGACAGCGACACAGAAAGGAGGAAGUCAAAGCAACCAACCACAGCAGAGGAGACACGGACACUUUACACAGCAGCUUUGCUUUUGAAGAGGCUGCUUAGUCACAGUCCUG